This 322-nucleotide ribosomal RNA is filed under the name uncultured eukaryote. RNAcentral's name for it is "partial 18S ribosomal RNA". It matches the Rfam family "Eukaryotic small subunit ribosomal RNA", at positions 1470 to 1796 of the family's 1831-position model. The record is from RNAcentral.
CCCUUAGAUGUUCUGGGCCGCACGCGUGCUACACUGAGUGGAUCAGCGGGUCAGGUUGCGCGAAAGCGUUUCCUAAUCUUUAAAUCCGCUCGUGAUGGGGAUUGACGGUUGCAAUUUUCUGUCAUGAACGAGGAAUACCUUGUAAGCGCGGGUCAUCAACCCGCGCUGAAUACGUCCCUGCCCUUUGUACACACCGCCCGUCGCUCCUACCGAUUGAGUGGUCCGGUGAGGCUUUGGGAUCUGAGCGGAAAGAGCGUUUCGCUGUUUCUGCUCGGAAAACUCAGUCGAACCUUAUCAUUUAGAGGAAGGAGAAGUCGUAACA